CGUGAUAAUGUGUUGUUGUAGUGUUGGAGUUCUUAUUUUUCGCCAGGUGCGGCACCAAACCGACCAUCGCGCGCGACGUGUAAUAAUAAAUGUAGAAAGGCGAUUUAUUAUCAACAAAUUCCUCCUGCACGGCUGCUGACUCGGCAUCGUCGGCAGCCAUAUCGUCGUUCGCUUCCUGUUCAUCGUCCUCCUGGGCUUCCACUGCGUCACGUUUGUCUUGGAAUUUAUUUUUUUCUGUAUCAAACAGAAAUAUAUUGUUUUUUUUUUGUUACAAUAACCCCUUAUGCUGGGCGGAAAGUAAAUGUGAGCAACGGACUUACCGAAUUUCGUAAGAUCUCCACCGAGCAGCCGGAGCAUGUGCACCGUAUCGUACUGAUCAACAUACGCCCUCAGGCUCAUCGCUCCCUUCCAUCCGACCGUGGCUAGUUUUACAUCCUCUACCAUACAUUCGAGUACGCAGCUGCCGGACGCUGAAAACAGAUCGACACAAUCAAACCAGUUAGAUCGUGAAAAGCCAACCAUUCAGAAUCACUGUUGCUUACCAACACCCUGAAGGUUCUUCUGCGUUUCAGCAGUGAGGGAGGAAAUUUCGGGCGGUCUGGUAGGGUCGGUGCAUGACAGCAGCGCGAUUAAAUCCUGCUUCUGCACCAUCACGCGACGCUGACUGCCAAUGUACGCAUUUACAUUGGCCAGCCCUUCACUGGCGAGCCGAAAGUCGCACUCGAUGUUACGUGUGGCGCAGCGUACGAACGACUUCACGCCGAGAUUGAUCAUCUUUAUGCGCUUCUCGUUCAGCUGCACGAUAUCGCGCACAAUGCUCGAGCAGAAGUACACAUUUUUCUUCUUACCCACCUUGCAUCGCGUAAGUAGAUUGCGCGGCUCAAAGUCUACGAAGAAACGGAGAGAAUGUGAUGUGACAUAAAUGGUCCAAAAAAGGAA
Molecule: long non-coding RNA, 939 nt
Organism: Anopheles arabiensis
Lineage: Eukaryota; Metazoa; Arthropoda; Insecta; Diptera; Culicidae
Exons: 2
Source: RefSeq, a predicted model, not a curated record